UACGUAGGGGGCAAGCGUUGUCCGGAAUCAUUGGGCGUAAAGCGCGUGUAGGCGGUUCGAUAAGUCUGCUGUGAAAGUCCAGGGCUCAACCCUGGGAUGCCGGUGGAUACUGUCGGGCUAGAGUGCGGAAGAGGCGAGUGGAAUUCCCGGUGUAGCGGUGAAAUGCGCAGAUAUCGGGAAGAACACCAAAGGCGAAAGCACUUUGCUGGGCCGAAACUGACACUGAUAGACGAAAGCUAGGGGAGCAAAUGGG
Molecule: ribosomal RNA, 253 nt
Filed under: uncultured bacterium
Lineage: Bacteria
Description: partial 16S ribosomal RNA
Rfam family: Bacterial small subunit ribosomal RNA
Source: RNAcentral